AAAGCUUGGUGAGGGCAUUUUCUAAGCAUAUCCUUAAAUCUCUCCCAACCUUCAUAGAUUGACUCUUUUUUCAAAUUGAAAAAAAAAAUGUGAUAUCAAAUCUC
Molecule: small nucleolar RNA, 104 nt
Organism: Dendrobium catenatum
Lineage: Eukaryota; Viridiplantae; Streptophyta; Magnoliopsida; Asparagales; Orchidaceae
Source: RefSeq, a predicted model, not a curated record